This 253-nucleotide ribosomal RNA is filed under the name uncultured bacterium. RNAcentral's name for it is "partial 16S ribosomal RNA". It matches the Rfam family "Bacterial small subunit ribosomal RNA", at positions 524 to 776 of the family's 1533-position model. The record is from RNAcentral.
UACAGAGGGGGCAAGCGUUGUUCGGAAUUACUUGGCGUAAAGGGCGCGUAGGCGGCCUGUUAAGUCGAACGUGAAAUCCCCGGGCUCAACCCGGGAACUGCGUCCGAUACUGGCAGGCUUGAAUCCGGGAGAGGGAUGCGGAAUUCCAGGUGUAGCGGUGAAAUGCGUAGAUAUCUGGAGGAACACCGGUGGCGAAGGCGGCAUCCUGGACCGGCAUUGACGCUGAGGCGCGAAAGCCAGGGGAGCAAACGGG